UACGAAGGGGGCUAGCGUUGCUCGGAAUCACUGGGCGUAAAGGGUGCGUAGGCGGGUCUUUAAGUCAGGGGUGAAAUCCUGGAGCUCAACUCCAGAACUGCCUUUGAUACUGAGGAUCUUGAGUUCGGGAGAGGUGAGUGGAACUGCGAGUGUAGAGGUGAAAUUCGUAGAUAUUCGCAGGAACACCAGUGGCGAAGGCGGCUCACUGGCCCGUUACUGACGCUGAGGCACGAAAGCGUGGGGAGCAAACAGG
Molecule: ribosomal RNA, 253 nt
Filed under: uncultured bacterium
Lineage: Bacteria
Description: partial 16S ribosomal RNA
Rfam family: Bacterial small subunit ribosomal RNA
Source: RNAcentral